GAUACGAAGUCCCUCCAAGAAGUACGAAACCCUCGUUCGUUGCCAACGCCGUCAGAGGGAGACGCCGCCGCCGCCGCCGCGUCUCCGGGGGAGGGCGGUUUGAAUCCCCUCCGCCGACGUACGGGAUCGCCGCCGCUGAGAUCCGGGAGAUGCCGACGCCGCCGUUCUAGGAGAGACGUCGCCGCCGUCCGAGGGGAGACGUCGCUGCCACACCUCCUUUUCUCACGCCCCAUCUCCUCAGCCGGGAGGCCCCUGCCUCCCUCUCCUCCUGCGAGGCAACAGCUGGCCGCGAGUGGAUGGUGCUCUCGGGAGCGGGGGACACGAGUGCGGUGCAGUCAACGGCCAGGUGCGAUGCGAGCAGCAGUCGGCGGCGGACGGGGCCAACGCUCAACGACGGUUUUGUGCAGAAGGCUGAGAAAGUUGGGACCAGAAACUUUGCUAGGAUAUGCCUUGAUUGGCGUCUCCGUUCCCUAGGUGACCCUGUCUUCAUGUGUUCACUUGGUCGAGAAGUUCGUCGCUGCCGCCGAGGAACAGAACAGGAGCUUCUUGCAACCGUGGACAGUACAUUGUUGCCUCGUCCAGAUGUUGUGGUGCCGCUGCCACACUGCUGGCUCGUUUCGGCUCCCCUAUUGCAUCGCCUGAUGCAUCGGAGGAGGAGAUGUAAUAAUGGUUGUUCUCCACGAGAAACUAUGCUCAUAAUUUUUCCUAUAAAUAUCCACUUGUGCAAGUACUAAGUAUUACAGCAAGGAGGAAUCAAGUGGCUUGCAGUAGACCGUCACCAGAAGUAUGCAAGAAUAACCGUAGCGUCUGGACCAGCCUCCUUUCUUUUAAUGCAUGAUAGAUAGUAUCUGGAACCGUCAGUCUCAGCCAUGCCAUGGUGUCUUACAGGUAUUUUCAGAUCAUUGAUGUCUGGUUUCCGUUCUGAUCUGAACAUAUAGUUGAGCAGGGACUUUAUGAUUUUGGCCCAGAUUCUGUUUGAUGAGUAAACUACUAUUAUUAGUUCCCACAAAAAACCAAUGAUCAUUAGCUCAAAGUUUAAUUUUAUUUUCAUUUGAGAGCACCGACAGUUAGUUUUCACCACCUCCGCGUCCACCCGCCCAACAAUUAGUACCCUGUUAACUUGAGGGAUGGCGUCUCACAGUACAAUGUUCAGGUAUGGAUACUGUGUCUUCUUAUCUAGAUAUCAGAUCUUCUAUAGUACGCCAUGAAAAUUCAAACGCCUAUCAGCUUCAUAGAAGAAAGUUAGUCUUAUGAUAGAAAAAAGGCCCAUCGGCCAUUACAAUGCCUGAUUGUUAUCAUCUGCUUUUCAGCUGAUUACUGAUUACUGAGUACUGACUAUACCCAACAACAUAUGACUGACUGGACCAAGUAUAACUAGCUGUCUUUGUGUCCAAUAUUCUUUGGAAAAUUCUAUCAAACUGGGUAGGCGCAUGGGCAUCACACUAGGACAAGACAGACUGGUUGCACUCAUACACAGGUUGAUUCGAUCUUUUAAGUAUUUAUGUUUUUGAAUGGUCUCUUACAUGUCAUUAUUUGUAGCACACAGGACCAUGAGCUCUAGCCAAACAUAAUUCAUACCGUAAUAAUUAGGAAGUUUGUAACUGAUUUACUUUGUUCUUUUGUCUUGGUUGUUGAAGUUUGUAAUUGAUUUACUUUGUUCUUUUUUCUUGGUUGUUGGUUAGUUAAUUACCGGUCAUUUGACCAUUUUUGUACACUACCGAGUUUGCCUUUGUGAGCAAAUACUAUUCAAUUCUACAUAUACUGUUUGAAUGCUGAGGUACAUCACUUUUAUGUUAUACUCUCAUGAUCCACCCAUUGUUUUCUUCUUUGUUCUUUCUUUCAGGAUCAGAAUUGUGAAUGUAGGCUGUAGAAAUCCAACUUCCAAUUGCUUAUUAAUACCUCAGAUGGCCAUGUUAUGCAGGGUGAAGCAUGAUGAGAAGAAAACACCGAUGGAUCCAGAUGGGGAGUCGAGAGGCAUGGAGAGGUGAUGAGAAGGACAACAUCUUAGUUACUUAUCAGAACAGAGUUCAUAUAGAAAAGGAUGUACUAGCAAGGAUGUGCUUCAAGGUGAUAUUUGUCACAACGGUCAUAGGUCGCAUCUGAAAUACAUGUUGUUUGAUCGUUGUUUUUAAUGUUUAAGCUUCGUGUUUCAUGGCAAUGCAUGGCCAUCCACCUAUUACUAUAAGAGGGCUAUACAAAUUAUUCCCAAGUUUGUUGUAAGUGGUGGUUUAUCAUAUGGUCUAGGUUUUAAGUGAUCAGGUUC
Molecule: long non-coding RNA, 2263 nt
Organism: Triticum dicoccoides
Lineage: Eukaryota; Viridiplantae; Streptophyta; Magnoliopsida; Poales; Poaceae
Exons: 5
Source: RefSeq, a predicted model, not a curated record